Non-coding RNA from Dromiciops gliroides (monito del monte), 73 nucleotides. The record is from the annotation of a RefSeq genome assembly. Lineage: Eukaryota; Metazoa; Chordata; Mammalia; Microbiotheria; Microbiotheriidae.
GGACUCAUGGCUUAGUGGUUAAAGUGCCUGCCUAGUAAGCAGGAUAUCCUGGGUUUGAAUCCCAGUAGGGCCU